GAUGAACGCUGGCGGCGUGCCUAACACAUGCAAGUCGAGCGAACGGACGAGAAGCUUGCUUCUCUGAUGUUAGCGGCGGACGGGUGAGUAACAUGUGGAUAACUUACCUAUAAGACUGGGAUCACUUCGGGAAACCGGAGCUAAUACCGGAUAAUAUUUUGAACCGCAUGGUUCAAAAGUGAACGACGGUCUUGCUGUCACUUAUAGAUGGAUCCGCGCUGCAUUAGCUAGUUGGUAAGGUAACGGCUUACCAAGGCAACGAUGCAUAGCCGACCUGAGAGGGUGAUCGGCCACACUGGAACUGAGACACGGUCCAGACUCCUACGGGAGGCAGCAGUAGGGAAUCUUCCGCAAUGGGCGAAAGCCUGACAGAGCAACGCCGCGUGAGUGAUGAAGGUCUUCGGAUCGUAAAGCUCUGUUAUUAGGGAAGAACAUAUUUGUAAGUAUCUGUGCACAUCUUGACGGUACCUAAUCAAAAAGCCACGGCUAACUACGUG
This 497-nucleotide ribosomal RNA is filed under the name uncultured bacterium. RNAcentral's name for it is "partial 16S ribosomal RNA". It matches the Rfam family "Bacterial small subunit ribosomal RNA", at positions 28 to 507 of the family's 1533-position model. The record is from RNAcentral.